Molecule: ribosomal RNA, 1343 nt
Filed under: uncultured bacterium
Lineage: Bacteria
Description: 16S ribosomal RNA
Rfam family: Bacterial small subunit ribosomal RNA
Source: RNAcentral
GACGAACGCUGGCGGCGUGCUUAACACAUGCAAGUCGAACGGAAAGGCCCUGCUUUUGUGGGGUGCUCGAGUGGCGAACGGGUGAGUAACACGUGAGUAACCUGCCCUUGACUUUGGGAUAACUUCAGGAAACUGGGACUAAUACCGGAUAGGAGCUCCUGCUGCAUGGUGGGGGUUGGAAAGUUUCGGCGGUUGGGGAUGGACUCGCGGCUUAUCAGCUUGUUGGUGGGGUAGUGGCUUACCAAGGCUUUGACGGGUAGCCGGCCUGAGAGGGUGACCGGCCACAUUGGGACUGAGAUACGGCCCAGACUCCUACGGGAGGCAGCAGUGGGGAAUAUUGCACAAUGGGCGGAAGCCUGAUGCAGCAACGCCGCGUGCGGGAUGACGGCCUUCGGGUUGUAAACCGCUUUCGCCUGUGACGAAGCGUGAGUGACGGUAAUGGGUAAAGAAGCACCGGCUAACUACGUGCCAGCAGCCGCGGUGAUACGUAGGGUGCGAGCGUCGUCCGGAUUUAUUGGGCGUAAAGGGCUCGUAGGUGGUUGAUCGCGUCGGAAGUGUAAUCUUGGGGCUUAACCCUGAGCGUGCUUUCGAUACGGGUUGACUUGAGGAAGGUAGGGGAGAAUGGAAUUCCUGGUGGAGCGGUGGAAUGCGCAGAUAUCAGGAGGAACACCAGUGGCGAAGGCGGUUCUCUGGGCCUUUCCUGACGCUGAGGAGCGAAAGCGUGGGGAGCGAACAGGCUUAGAUACCCUGGUAGUCCACGCUGUAAACGGUGGGUACUAGGUGUGGGGUCCAUUCCACGGGUUCCGUGCCGUAGCUAACGCUUUAAGUACCCCGCCUGGGGAGUACGGCCGCAAGGCUAAAACUCAAAGGAAUUGACGGGGCCCCGCACAAGCGGCGGAGCAUGCGGAUUAAUUCGAUGCAACGCGUAGAACCUUACCUGGGUUUGACAUGGAUCGGGAGUGCUCAGAGAUGGGUGUGCCUCUUUUGGGGUCGGUUCACAGGUGGUGCAUGCCUGUCGUCAGCUCGUGUCGUGAGAUGUUGGGUUAAGUCCCGCAACGAGCGCAACCCUUGUUCACUGUUGCCAGCACGUUAUGGUGGGGACUCAGUGGAGACCGCCGGGGUCAACUCGGAGGAAGGUGGGGAUGACGUCAAGUCAUCAUGCCCCUUAUGUCCAGGGCUUCACGCAUGCUACAGUGGCUGGUACAGAGAGUGGCGAGCCUGUGAGGGUGAGCGAAUCUCGGAAAGCCGGUCUCAGUUCGGAUUGGGGUCUGCAACUCGACCUCAUGAAGUCGGAGUCGCUAGUAAUCGCAGAUCAGCAACGCUGCGGUGAAUACAUUCCCGGG